RNAcentral lists this ribosomal RNA (482 nucleotides) under uncultured bacterium. RNAcentral's name for it is "bacterial SSU rRNA". It matches the Rfam family "Bacterial small subunit ribosomal RNA", at positions 24 to 518 of the family's 1533-position model. The record is from RNAcentral.
UCAGGACGAACGCUGGCGGCGUGCUUAACACAUGCAAGUCGAACGGUGAAGCUGGUGCUUGCACCGGUGGAGCAGUGGCGAACGGGUGAGUAACACGUGAGUAACCUGCCCUGACUUUGGGAUAACCGCGGGAAACCGUGGCUAAUACUGGAUAUGACACAUGCAGGCAUCUGUGUGUGUGGAAAGAUUUAUCGGUUGGGGAUGGGCUCGCGGCCUAUCAGUUUGUUGGUGGGGUAAUGGCCUACCAAGGCGACGACGGGUAGCCGGCCUGAGAGGGCGACCGGCCACACUGGGACUGAGACACGGCCCAGACUCCUACGGGAGGCAGCAGUGGGGAAUAUUGGACAAUGGGCGAAAGCCUGAUCCAGCGACGCCGCGUGAGGGACGACGGCCUUCGGGUUGUAAACCUCUUUCAGCAGGGAAGAAGCGAGAGUGACGGUACCUGUAGAAGAAGCGCCGGCUAACUACGUGCCAGCCGCGGC